GGUUCCACUUGGUGUUGCCAUUAUUGCAAUCUCUGUCCAAGAUGAAUGCUCCUUUAUAAUCACAUUGGCUACAUGACAACGAUGAUGAAGAUGGUGAUCUCCUGCCACUGCCACUNNNCCACAAACACUCUUUGCUUAUUAUUAUUCUUAUUGUUCCUCUUAACCCCUUGUGCAUCUUGUCCAAGGCUGAUCACACAAAGAUUUGAUCUAAUGAUACAUUCUGGAAGUGGAAGUGAAUUGACUAUUUCUUCCCAUCUCAUAUUCUCAUUUUCCUUCACUUCACCACUUCUUUGUUGUGGCUGCUGCUGUAAUUACUAUUGGUCGCCUCCUAAGAACCACCACCAUUGGUAUUGAUUUCUAUUGAUACUAACUGUAGCAGUGGCUCCUCUGGGGCUAGUGCUUAAAAAGGGCCAAACACCAUCAACCUUAGACCUAGACCUGCAUCUAGGUCAUAGCAUUCAGCAUCAGACCUGAACUGCCCUUGGCUAUCUGUGCGAUAACCACUCACAACCUAGAAACUGGAAUCACCCUCCCAAGCUAAACCCUGACACUCGUCCCUCUCUUUAAUCAAAUCUAGCAGCUUUUGCCAUUCAUUUUUAUCAACAUCAUAG
Molecule: unclassified non-coding RNA, 611 nt
Filed under: Hevea brasiliensis (rubber tree)
Lineage: Eukaryota; Viridiplantae; Streptophyta; Magnoliopsida; Malpighiales; Euphorbiaceae
Source: RNAcentral